CACGUAGGGCGCAAGCGUUGUCCGGAAUCAUUGGGCGUAAAGAGCUUGUAGGCGGUUUGUCGCGUCUGCUGUGAAAUUUCGGGGCUCAACCCCGAACUUGCAGUGGGUACGGGCAGGCUAGAGUGUGGUAGGGGAGACUGGAAUUCCUGGUGUAGCGGUGAAAUGCGCAGAUAUCAGGAGGAACACCGAUGGCGAAGGCAGGUCUCUGGGCCACUACUGACGCUGAGAAGCGAAAGCAUGGGGAGCGAACAGG
RNAcentral lists this ribosomal RNA (253 nucleotides) under uncultured bacterium. Its description in RNAcentral is "partial 16S ribosomal RNA". It matches the Rfam family "Bacterial small subunit ribosomal RNA", at positions 524 to 776 of the family's 1533-position model. The record is from RNAcentral.